This 247-nucleotide unclassified non-coding RNA is filed under the name Hevea brasiliensis (rubber tree). The record is from RNAcentral. Lineage: Eukaryota; Viridiplantae; Streptophyta; Magnoliopsida; Malpighiales; Euphorbiaceae.
UAACAUUCAAAAGGAGUCCACCCUCCACCUGGUGCUUCGGCUCAGGGGAGGUAUGCAGAUUUUUGUCAAGACCCUCACAGGGAAGACAAUUACCCUGGAGGUUGAGAGCUCGGAUACCAUCGACAAUGUUAAAGCCAAAAUUCAGGAUAAAGAAGGCAUACCUCCUGAUCAGCAGAGACUGAUUUUUGCUGGAAAACAAUUGGAAGAUGGUAGAACCCUGGCUGAUUACAACAUUCAGAAAGAAUCA